Xenorhabdus cabanillasii JM26 is the source of this 45-nucleotide non-coding RNA. The record is from Rfam. Lineage: Bacteria; Pseudomonadati; Pseudomonadota; Gammaproteobacteria; Enterobacterales; Morganellaceae.
AAUCAGGCUCUUAUCAGAGCCACCUAAAUAUGUUAAAUUGACGAA